UGGCGCGGUCGGCGGGGAAACGCGAAACGGCGGAGCGGAGCGGAGCGGGAGGCGCCGGGGAAACCCGGAGUGCGGAGACACGGAGCGGGGCUCCGGCGGAAAGGGGCCGCUCGGGCCGGGGGAUGCGGCGUGGAGAGGGCUUGAGGGAUGCGGAGCUCCUGCUGGAGCGGGUGGGGCUGCUCCUGACCCAGGGAGCCUCGGAGACGGGCAGCACGGGGAGCGAGGGACCGCAGAGGGAAAUGACCUGUGAAUGAGGAAGGGAAGGAGGACAGAGGGACGGGGAAAGCAUGUGAUGGUAGGAAAGGAGCUCAGAAAUCAUACUCUGAUAGUGGCGUUGGUUGAAAUCAGGCAAUCGAAAGCCCUACAGAUCUAGCUAAAGAAAGGCAGCUGAGUGCUUGGUUGUUUUAUUUUUCAUUCUACUUUUCGUUCUCAUUUUCAGCUCUGUUCCGGCUCUCCAGUCUUAAGGAGAAGGAAGAACUGAGCCAUGCUUGUGGUGGGAAUCAGGCUUCGGCGUGAGCCCUCCGAGCGGUCCCAGCAGAUGGUGCUGUGAUCCUUCCAGAGGUGUAAAGCAAUUCUGGUAACUGCAAAAUGCACUUCACAGAAGGUUUGGUUGCAAGCAGAUGCCAGCCUCUCACUGCUCAUCUGGAGAUGCACACUUUAUGUGAACAGAGUAAAGAACUGAUUUCUGAAAAAUAAAU
Molecule: non-coding RNA, 698 nt
Organism: Meleagris gallopavo (turkey)
Lineage: Eukaryota; Metazoa; Chordata; Aves; Galliformes; Phasianidae
Source: RefSeq, a predicted model, not a curated record